RNAcentral lists this ribosomal RNA (482 nucleotides) under uncultured bacterium. RNAcentral's name for it is "partial 16S ribosomal RNA". It matches the Rfam family "Bacterial small subunit ribosomal RNA", at positions 30 to 505 of the family's 1533-position model. The record is from RNAcentral.
AUUGAACGCUGGCGGCAGGCCUAACACAUGCAAGUCGAGCGGAUGAAGGGAGCUUGCUCCUGGAUUCAGCGGCGGACGGGUGAGUAAUGCCUAGGAAUCUGCCUGGUAGUGGGGGAUAACGUCCGGAAACGGGCGCUAAUACCGCAUACGUCCUGAGGGAGAAAGUGGGGGAUCUUCGGACCUCACGCUAUCAGAUGAGCCUAGGUCGGAUUAGCUAGUUGGUGGGGUAAAGGCCUACCAAGGCGACGAUCCGUAACUGGUCUGAGAGGAUGAUCAGUCACACGGGAAAUGAGACACGGCCAAGACUCCUCGGGGGGGCAGCAGGGGGGAAUAUUGGAAAAGGGGCGAAGGCCUGAACCCGCCAUGCCGCGGGUGUGAAGAAGGUCUUCGGAUUGUAAAGCACUUUAAGUUGGGAGGAAGGGAAGUAAGUUAAUACCUGGCUGUUUUGACGUUACCAACAAAAUAAGCACCGGGUAACUUCG